AGGUAAAUUUAUUCUACUCUACAAGAAAAAUACUAAUGUUUGUAAAAUAUUUUUUGCACUUUCAAAUGCCUCCGAUUUGAAUUAGUGGGAUACACGUUGAAGGGGACAUAAAAAUGUUUCAACCGGAGCAUCGCCGGAAUUUGACUGGAUACCCGAUGCCUUCCUGUGCAAUAGCAGCAGCAUCUUUGCCCAUUCCUACAAGAUCGUGUCCUGCUAAUCUAAGAACAUUUUGCAGCCACAUAGUAGGACCGGGCACUCCAUUUUUGGGGGACAUCCCCGAGGGCCUUGCAAUAGGACAUCGGGUGGAGGUCAAGGGAAAAGUAAAAGUACUGCCGCACUCACGGUGCGGCCACAACCUCCGAUAAUUUUGCACAUAAAUCCAAGAUUUAAGGAGGCACAUAUCAUAGUACGAAAUGCAUUGCUCAAAGGUUUGUGGGGCAACGAAGAAAGAAGUGGAGGGUGUCCCUUGAAGCCAGGUCAGCCCUUUCAUUUGGUGAUACGCUGCGAGUCGAAGCAAUUUAAUAUUGCAAUCAAUGGAAUUGCUUUUGCGACUUUUAAAUACAGGCAAUUUUAGUGGAAGGUGAUGUCAAAGUAUCAGACAUUCGGUGACUAAACGCUGUGCUCUCAGUUAGUGUUUUAAUUUUUCUACAAAGAAAGAACUGAUCCGGCCAUAUGUUGAUUAAUUUUAUGUCAACAAGAAAAUUGUCCAAUAUUCUUCAUUAACAGGCAACACUUAAAUUUCUCAUGAGAAAACGAAAAUGUGUCCCUUUACUAAUUAAAGCAAUUAAAGGUGAUUUAAAUUGAUAUAACAGUUUUUAUCUGUCUCUCUCAAUGCUGUAUAUUUAAAAAAUAGUUUGCCACAUGAUAAAACCACAGCAAAUUGUUAGCACAAACAUCAGCAUAUCACUGGCUGAACUCUGAAAUAAAUUAUUUGGAUUGUUAUUUCGAAAUGACUGUAGUCCACUCCACUCUGCUCACACAGCAUAUCAACAGACCAUAUAAGAAAUCUGAACAAAAAUAGUUUUACAUAAAAUCUUGUUCCCUGCACAUAAAGUUUUAUUUAUGAUGGGCUGUAGGUAAUUACUUCUGUAUAAGAAAAGUAAGUCUAAACUAUAAAAAAAAAUGUAUUUCUUGCUCAGAAGAAAGUAGUGUCAUGAAUAAUGCCCGUAUUAUUGUCUUUAAAAACAAAGGAUUGCUGCGAUUACUGCACAAUAUAAAAUCUUUCAAAUUAAGAUUUGGAUGGUAAAAAGAGGUGAUCAAUUAAGAUUUGUAUUAAAUAGUUAUAUAAACUUAACUGCACAAUAUUUUCA
Neocloeon triangulifer is the source of this 1310-nucleotide long non-coding RNA. RefSeq lists it as uncharacterized. The transcript is spliced from 3 exons. NCBI's taxonomy places the organism in Eukaryota, Metazoa, Arthropoda, Insecta, Ephemeroptera, Baetidae. The record is from RefSeq and is a predicted model, not a curated record.